This 253-nucleotide ribosomal RNA is filed under the name uncultured bacterium. RNAcentral's name for it is "partial 16S ribosomal RNA". It matches the Rfam family "Bacterial small subunit ribosomal RNA", at positions 57 to 305 of the family's 1533-position model. The record is from RNAcentral.
GCAAGUCGAGGGGUAACAGCUCGGAUUUAUUCGAAGCUGCCGAAAGGCGCAUCGGUGCGUAACGCGUAUGCAACCUGCCUUAUACAGAAGGAUAGCCCCGAGAAAUUGGGAUUAAUACUUCAUGGUAUUACUGAUUCACCUGAAUUAGUAAUUAAAACUCCGGUGGUAUAAGAUGGGCAUGCGUAUGAUUAGCUAGAUGGUGAGGUAACGGCUCACCAUGGCGACGAUCAUUAGGGGUCCUGAGAGGGUGAUC